UGGGGGAUAUUGCACAAUGGGCGAAAGCCUGAUGCAGCGACGCCGCGUGGGGGAUGAAGGCUUUCGGGUUGUAAACCUCUUUCGCUAUCGAACAAGGCCCGCUUAGGGUGGGUUGAGGGUAGGUGGAGAAGAAGCGCCGGCUAACUACGUGCCAGCAGCCGCGGUAAUACGUAGGGCGCGAGCGUUGUCCGGAAUUAUUGGGCGUAAAGGGCUUGUAGGCGGCUUGUUGCGCCUGCUGUGAAAACGCGGGGCUUAACCUCGCGCGUGCAGUGGGUACGGGCAGGCUUGAGUGUGGUAGGGGUGACUGGAAUUCCAGGUGUAGCGGUGGAAUGCGCAGAUAUCUGGAGGAACACCGAUGGCGAAGGCAGGUCACUGGGCCAUUACUGACGCUGAGGAGCGAAAGCAUGGGUAGCGAACAGG
Molecule: ribosomal RNA, 420 nt
Filed under: bacterium
Lineage: Bacteria
Description: partial 16S ribosomal RNA
Rfam family: Bacterial small subunit ribosomal RNA
Source: RNAcentral